GCGGGAAAAUAAAAUAAUUCAGGCGCGUUAAUUUGGUAAGUGGAGGCGCUUUACCAUUGCAAAUUUAAAAAUAAAUGCUAUCUUAUCUGAAAAAUAUAUUAAAAAUAAUUCAGCCACGUUUCUUUUGUUUCUGUUUCUUCUCCGUAGUCUGCUUGACUUCCUCAAAUUCUCAGAUUCAUCACCACUCCUUUUGUCACCAUUGCUCGUUAUCCCACCACCACCAGCUCGUCACCACCAUCACCAUAUCUCUCAUCCGCUUCGAUGGUUCAGGUCGGCGGGGAAGAUGCUUUGAUGGUUCAGGUCGCUGGAGAUGUCUCAUUCUCUGAGUAUGAGCCUCCCUCUUGGCAGAGCCAAAGUUUCUCCGGACUGAUUUCAGGGUUUCAUAAGGGGUUGUUGGAUCAUGUAGCUUCUUAGUUAUGACCUCUAGCACAACAUGAGAUCGAAGGGUAUCACAGGACACAAUUGUUGCUUGAGUAGAAGCCCGUGAUUGUUAGUUACAUUAACUGGAAAACAAUGGAAACAGAGAAUUAAUUGACAAAGGCUAUAGAGCCCAAAGUACCCACACAUCAGUGCAACUCCAAGGAACAAGUCUGACCAUUUUAAAAUGUGCUUCCUGUUUAGCUCGUCACUUUCUUCUUUGUGCUUGCUUCUAGUGUUGCUGUAUUGGCAGUGCGUUAGUCUCAAAGCAACUUUCCAUUAGAGGAAGACCACAAAGACGUGAGCCUCGGUUCAGAUUUUCUAGACUGGUUGAAUUUUGCGGUGUUUUGGAAUGCUUGGAGCCUGAGUUCCCAAGAGCAUUGGCACGUGUUGAACUUGCUAUUUGAGAGGCUUAUUCUGGACAAAAUCAAAUCAACAGGAUCUUCAGACUUGAGUUCUUACUAUUCUGUUGUCCAGGUAUUGGUUCAAAUGUAUUGGCACGAAGACUGUCCUGAAAAAGAGCCUCCUUGCCAUGGGUUCUAUGCAGACUUCACUAUGGCAACAAGAAUAACAAUACCAGAUUUCAUCACCAGUUUAUCCGUUCUAUUUUGCAAUGAGUUCAUGUGUUUCAUGUAUUGAUUUUGUGUGUUUUGUAUCUUUUUGGAAAAGCAUAUGUAUAUUAUGAUUUACUUGUGUUUUAUUUGAGUAAAUUAUAUUUAUUAA
Long non-coding RNA from Raphanus sativus (radish), 1140 nucleotides. RefSeq lists it as uncharacterized. NCBI's taxonomy places the organism in Eukaryota, Viridiplantae, Streptophyta, Magnoliopsida, Brassicales, Brassicaceae. The record is from RefSeq and is a predicted model, not a curated record. The transcript is spliced from 4 exons.